UAGGGAAUCUUCGGCAAUGGGGGGAACCCUGACCGAGCAACGCCGCGUGAGUGAAGAAGGUUUUCGGAUCGUAAAGCUCUGUUGUUAAGGAAGAACGAGUGUGAGAAUGGAAAGUUCAUACUGUGACGGUACUUAACCAGAAAGGGACGGCUAACUACGUGCCAGCAGCCGCGGUAAUACGUAGGUCCCGAGCGUUGUCCGGAUUUAUUGGGCGUAAAGCGAGCGCAGGCGGUCAGAUAAGUCUGAAGUUAAAGGCAGUGGCUCAACCAUUGUAGGCUUUGGAAACUGUUUAACUUGAGUGCAGAAGGGGAGAGUGGAAUUCCAUGUGUAGCGGUGAAAUGCGUAGAUAUAUGGAGGAACACCGGUGGCGAAAGCGGCUCUCUGGUCUGUAACUGACGCUGAGGCUCGAAAGCGUGGGGAGCGAACAGGAUUAGAUACCCUGGUAGUCCACGCCGUAACGAUGAGUGCUAGGUGUUAGGUCCUUUCCGGGACUUAGUGCCGCAGCUAACGCAUUAAGCACUCCGCCUGGGGAGUACGACCGCAAGGUUG
This 549-nucleotide ribosomal RNA is filed under the name uncultured bacterium. RNAcentral's name for it is "bacterial SSU rRNA". It matches the Rfam family "Bacterial small subunit ribosomal RNA", at positions 355 to 896 of the family's 1533-position model. The record is from RNAcentral.